CCGAAGUCUCAGAGCAAAACUGUCCAUGCCGACCCCCCACAUCCUGGUUCGCCUCACGUGGGUGUCCUUGUUCUCAGCAGCCUGGGGCAAGGGUGUGCUCAGCGUCCCUGUCAAGGGACAAGCACAGCACCACAGUAUUUCCUGAUAUUUUGCCUUCCAGGGCGUGAAGGAGUUAAACUUUUCAGAUGGAAAGCGAACUGAAGAUCAGACCAGCAGCCUGGUGACCUCCCGCUGCUGGGACAGCAGCAGCUCUCAGCCAAGCCCGGCAGUUCCAUCCAUCCACCGGCUUGGUGGGGCCACGGGGAGCAGCGGACGGUGCUGCAGCUUGUGAUCACUUCUCAGCAGCAGAUCAGGCUCCUGAAGCCCUUUGCUACAAGAAUCCUGCACUUUUCAGUGUGGCAGCCUUGAUGUAAGUAGAUACACACAUCGCUUGAAUUCGUGGAGCAGCUCCUGGUAGCAAAGCCAAGACUGUAAGUGUGUGCAGGAUCGGACCCCAAGGAGAGGGUGAGUGGGUGGGCACAGGUUUCCCUCGGGGCAGGGGCACGGAGGGACACCUCACCACAGCUUUCACUGCCCCAGUAAAUGUCAUGAGAUGUCCCGGCGGCCUGCACAAACCCAGCAUGUAGCAACGGCAGCUGGAGUGGUUCUGUUGACUCUGCUGUCGUUAAAUGAGUCAGCGGCAGUCACAGUCUUGUAGGUCAGCAGGGAGUGGCGCGCCAGGAAAUCAGUCACAAAAGUGGGGAAGAACCCCCAAGAAUUCAAGCCUUAACUGACUGCUUUUAGAAGUUUCUAUUUUCUUCAAAUGGCCCAUAGAAUCGUGUGUGUCGGCACAGCGGUUGCUCUUCUUUCGCAGAACCGCAUCUCGUGCGAGCACCCUCGGCCUCCCCUCACCGGGACUGUGCAGAAUGGAAUCCCCCCAGCCCAGAGCCCGGGAUCUGCCGACCCCGGCGCUGGGUCACCCACCCACGGCUGCCUCUACCCCCGGCCGUCACCCGGCCGGCGGCCUGACCGGCCCGAGAGAGGCUGUGGUGGGGGUGCGCGGGUGGGUCGGGGGGGCUGCGCUCCUGUUCCCACUGCGGGGCUUGGUUGUGUCUGUGGGGC
Molecule: long non-coding RNA, 1101 nt
Organism: Chiroxiphia lanceolata (lance-tailed manakin)
Lineage: Eukaryota; Metazoa; Chordata; Aves; Passeriformes; Pipridae
Exons: 3
Source: RefSeq, a predicted model, not a curated record